Leptinotarsa decemlineata (Colorado potato beetle) is the source of this 1313-nucleotide long non-coding RNA. Lineage: Eukaryota; Metazoa; Arthropoda; Insecta; Coleoptera; Chrysomelidae. The record is from RefSeq and is a predicted model, not a curated record.
AAUUAUUUUCAUCAACAUUUUAUUGAAAAAAAAACAAUUGUACAAAAAAAACCCUAACAGCUAACUCAAUCAUCGAAUACAUCAACUAAUUCUAUGAUUAAUAAAGUCUAUACACGAAAAUGAAUUACAGAAAAAAUGUGAAAAUGAAUACCAAAACUAUGUACACUUUAACAAAAGCAUGUCUCACAACUUCUAAAUUAAUGAAUGAUCAAAAUAAUACUUUCCUUCAGUGUAUUUACACAUUCAUCUUGACUUAAGCCAACUGAACAGUCUGUUUUUCAGUAACAAAGCGCCAUCAUCGUAACCGAACCCACACAAAGAGACUUCUCCACGAUUUUCUUGGGUUUCUGCAACGAAACUGCUAUGGGAGGCUGAGGAUUUCGAAUCAGAUUUCUGGUACCAAACACAUCGAAAAAUUUCACUUCUUCUUCCGCUAUAUCCGGAAGAGAAACUAUGUUGUGUUCCACUGGAUAACUUGAUCCCAAAUCAGGAUAAUGGUUGCCCUGGAGUUCGUAGUAGUUUCUUUCAUCGAUGAUUCUUGCAAAUGCACUAGCGAAGAAGGUCAAUGCAAGACAAAUUGUUCUGGGAUCCAUUGCUCGUUAGAUGCUCUUCUUCACUGCUGCUUUAGAUCAGUAAUGCACAUUUCAAUUCCCCACUUUUCAUUUAUAGGAGUAUCACGAUGCUUCUUAGAAAUUCUCGGGGAUUUCUGUAUCGGUGUUAUGAGAAGAUAAAUAUAACUGUAUAUCAUCUGCGUAUAGAUGUACUUCAUAAUGUGAUGAGAAAGUGGGGUAAUCAAAAGUAAACACUGAAAACAGGUCCUGAAAUACUUCCCUGCGGUACACCUGACAUUGUUUCUUUUAGGGAUGACCAUGAGUAAUCAUCCAGUUUGACCCUCUGUGAUCGGUGUGUCAGAUAGCUGGUCAUCCAUUUAAGAGAAAUGUUAUCGAAUCCUAUGAACUUGAGCUUGCUGAUGAGUAAAUCGAAAUUAACUAAAUCGAAAGCUUUACUUUGAUCAAGCAGUACUGAAAUCAUCACAAAAACCAUUCAAGAACAAAAAGGAGUACAUUAUGUUGACCUGAAAGCAUAUAUGAAAAUUGUGAUUUCUAAUUACUAGUCAUCCAUGUGAUCAAUAUCUAAAAUGAUGACAUCAAGCCAUGGAAAGACACCCCCAAACAACGAAAACAACAAAUCAUAAUGACUCGUUUGCGUACUGGACAUACAAAGUAUACUCACGAACACUUACUGAAAGUGGAAGAAAGUCUCAGCCUGAUUUAUACCUAUUUCCUUUGUUUGAAUAAAGAAAAUAAAUUUGA